UUUCCGUAGGUGAACCUGCGGAAGGAUCAUUAUCAAAAAAUGGAGGUGCGAGGGCUGAAAAUGACCCGAAAGGUCGUGCACGCCGGAGUGCCCUCACACAAAUACAUCUCACCCCUAUGUGCACCACUGCGGCAGCCGCCCUUGGGCCUGUACGGAGGGGGGCUUACGUUUUAACACUAACUCUGUAUGGAGUGUAUAUUGUAUUCUAUGUUUUUGCGACUACGCAAUCAUAACAACUUUUAACAACGAAUCACUUGUCUCUCGCCGCGACGAAGAACG
This 279-nucleotide unclassified non-coding RNA is filed under the name plant metagenome. RNAcentral describes it as "partial contains small subunit ribosomal RNA, internal transcribed spacer 1, and 5.8S ribosomal RNA". The record is from RNAcentral.